This 2291-nucleotide long non-coding RNA is filed under the name Salmo salar (Atlantic salmon). Its description in RNAcentral is "lncRNA (ENSSSAG00000093740.1, ENSSSAG00000119157.1)". Lineage: Eukaryota; Metazoa; Chordata; Actinopteri; Salmoniformes; Salmonidae. The record is from RNAcentral.
CUUGGAGAGAGCAAGCCAAGAAUCCCUACCCUCCCUCCCUCCCUCCCUCCCUUAGAGAGAGCAAGCCAAGAAUUACAUACAUACUACAUUCUUCUUCCUGGUUCAGGUUCCUGAGAUAUCAGACUGACCUAAUGAAGCACUCACAACUCAACUGAACAUUGGGAUAGUUUUAAAGAAUGAUAUCAGACCUGCAAGACACAACAAGCCCUACAGAGAGUAUAAAGCCUAAUGCAGUCUACAGCCUCUCUGAUUGGUCGAUGCUACAAGUACUGGUCUGGGUGACCAUGUCAACACAACCAGGGUUCCCAGGAGCAGGGGGAAUAUCUAAAGGAAGGUGGGUCAGUGUGGUUCUGGGGGAGCCCCAAACCAUGCACCGCCCCGUCCAGCCCACCGCCCCGUCCAGCCCACCGCCCUCGCCCAGUGCUCCCGUCCAGCACCCCGGUCCAGCGCCCCCCAGUCCAGCUCCCCGGUCCAGCUCCCCGGUCCAGCUCCCGGUCCAGCGCCCCCGGUCCAGCGUCCCCGGUCCAGCGCCCCGGGUCCAGCGCCCCCGGUCCAGCGCCCCCCAGCCAACAGAGCGGUCCAGUAGAGUCACACCACCACCAAUCAACAGGUUGAAACACAAAGAGGGAAAGACUCCAAGAGGAAGACGAGGGAGAAGACAUCUUCCACUCUGUCUGUCCUCUCAGCACAGAAAUAUGGACUUGAUCAAGCCAGUCGGUGUCGAACAUGUUUUACAUUUUGCGUCACUCCCUAUCCUACCCUGAAAAAUGCCAUUUCUGCAAGCGCUCUCUAAAAACAGACUUCAGCCUUUAUUCAAUCUCUAUUCGCUGAGGCGUUACAGAUUGCACGCUAUAAAUUUAAAGGUCAUUUCUGAUUGAGUCGACAUAUUACAGCGUUUACCGUGAAUGCACUCUCCACUAACAUUGCCUUUUAAAUUUAAAUCGUGACGUAACGCUGAACUUCCGCGAUAUGGAUUGAAAAGACCCUCCCUUUAUAUUAUUCCAUACAUUGGUAUAAGAUAUGAAUUCAAUCAAACACACAGUCCAGUUAUACACCCUCUGCUCCUACUCUCCUUUUUCUAUUGUUAAUUUUCCCCUCCCUUCCUUUCUUCAUUUCAUAACUUUGGCCACAGCCUGUUCUACUCUGUGCAGCAUAACUAACGGAACAAGAUGUUCCCUUUUCUCCUGAUACUGGCUGGUUGCCAGGCAGCAAUAUGGGAACAUUCAUUCAUGAGUUGAAUAAAACAGAAACCUGUUACCUGGUUCAGAGCUAGAGAGACAGGCAGCAGAAACCUGUUACCUGGUUCAGAGCUAGAGAGAGACAGGCCGACAGGCAGCAGAAACCUGUUGCCUGGUUCAGAGCUAGAGAGAGACAGGCAGACAGGCAGCAGAAACCUGAUGCCUGGUUCAGAGCUAGAGAGAGACAGGCCGACAGGCAGCAGAAACCUGAUGCCUGGUUCAGAGCUAGAGAGAGACAGGCCGACAGGCAGCAGAAACCUGAUGCCUGGUUCAGAGCUAGAGAGACAGGCCGACAGGCAGCAGAAACCUGAUGCCUGGUUCAGAGCUAGAGAGAGACAGGCCGACAGGCAGCAGAAACCUGAUGCCUGGUUCAGAGCUAGAGAGAGACAGGCCGACAGGCAGCAGAAACCUGUUGCCUGGUUCAGAGCUAGAGAGAGACAGGCCCACAGGCAGCAGAAACCUGUUACCUGGUUCAGAGCUAGAGAGAGACAGGCAGCAGAAACCUGAUGCCUGGUUCAGAGCUAGAGAGAGACAGGCCGACAGGCAGCAGAAACCUGAUGCCUGGUUCAGAGCUAGAGAGAGACAGGCCGACAGGCAGCAUAAACCUGUUACCUGGUUCAGAGCUAGAGAGAGACAGGCCGACAGGCAGCAGAAACCUGAUGCCUGGUUCAGAGCUAGAGAGAGACAGGCCGACAGGCAGCAGAAACCUGUUGCCUGGUUCAGAGCUAGAGAGACAGGCAGCAGAAAUCUGAUGCCUGGUUCAGAGCUAGAGAGAGACAGGCCGACAGGCAGCAGAAACCUGUUACCUGGUUCAGAGCUAGAGAGACAGGCCGACAGGCAGCAGAAACCUGAUGCCUGGUUCAGAGCUAGAGAGACAGGCAGCAGAAACCUGUUACCUGGUUCAGAGCUAGAGAGAGACAGGCAGCAGAAACCUGUUACCUGGUUCAGAGCUAGAGAGACAGGCAGCAGAAACCUGUUACCUGGUUCAGAGCUAGAGAGAGACAGGCAGCAGAAACCUGAUGCCUGGUUCAGAGCUAGAGAGACAGGCAGCAG